GAUGAACGCUAGCUACAGGCUUAACACAUGCAAGUCGAGGGGCAGCAUGAACAUAGCUUGCUAUGUUUGAUGGCGACCGGCGCACGGGUGCGUAACACGUAUCCAAUCUGCCCGUCACUCGGGGAUAGCCUUCUGAAAGGAAGAUUAAUACCCGAUGGCAUGCAUUUCCGGCAUCGGAGAUGCAUUAAAGAUUUAUCGGUGACGGAUGAGGAUGCGUACGAUUAGCUUGUUGGCGGGGUAACGGCCCACCAAGGCGACGAUCGUUAGGGGUUCUGAGAGGAAGGUCCCCCACACUGGAACUGAGACACGGUCCAGACUCCUACGGGAGGCAGCAGUGAGGAAUAUUGGUCAAUGGGCGGGAGCCUGAACCAGCCAAGUAGCGUGAAGGAAGACUGCCCUACGGGUUGUAAACUUCUUUUGUUUGGGAAUAAAAGACGCUACGUGUAGCGUUGUGCAUGUACCUUACGAAUAAGCAUCGGCUAAUUCCGUG
This 490-nucleotide ribosomal RNA is filed under the name uncultured bacterium. RNAcentral describes it as "bacterial SSU rRNA". It matches the Rfam family "Bacterial small subunit ribosomal RNA", at positions 28 to 507 of the family's 1533-position model. The record is from RNAcentral.